This 325-nucleotide long non-coding RNA is filed under the name Nicotiana benthamiana. Its description in RNAcentral is "long non-coding RNA (NBEN_LNC036830)". Lineage: Eukaryota; Viridiplantae; Streptophyta; Magnoliopsida; Solanales; Solanaceae. The record is from RNAcentral.
GUCCAAGAAAAAUUUUAGACGAUCCGUGUCCGGGGCCCGGAGCCACGACAGAAGGCGUGAGCUAUAGCACACGAAAAUUUGGUACUCGCGCGAAUUUCAAAUUUUAUAGCCGUAAUAUCCCAAAAAAUGUAAUUUGGUCAUGGAGGGGCGGUGACUAUGGUUCCUUUGCUGUAUUCGACGUCCACGAAAAAUUUUAGGCGAUCCGGAUUCAAAGGCCCGGGGCCAAGGCGGAUGGCGUGGGAUAUAGGACACGAAAAUUUGUGACUCGCGCGGAUUCCCAAUUAUACGGCGGUAAACUCCCAAAAAAUGUUAUUUGGUCAUGGCG